This 870-nucleotide ribosomal RNA is filed under the name Psychrobacter maritimus. RNAcentral's name for it is "bacterial SSU rRNA". It matches the Rfam family "Bacterial small subunit ribosomal RNA", at positions 377 to 1239 of the family's 1533-position model. The record is from RNAcentral. Lineage: Bacteria; Pseudomonadati; Pseudomonadota; Gammaproteobacteria; Moraxellales; Moraxellaceae.
GAAACCCUGAUCCAGCCAUGCCGCGUGUGUGAAGAAGGCCUUUUGGUUGUAAAGCACUUUAAGCAGUGAAGAAGACUCCGUGGUUAAUACCCACGGACGAUGACAUUAGCUGCAGAAUAAGCACCGGCUAACUCUGUGCCAGCAGCCGCGGUAAUACAGAGGGUGCAAGCGUUAAUCGGAAUUACUGGGCGUAAAGCGAGCGUAGGUGGCUUGAUAAGUCAGAUGUGAAAUCCCCGGGCUUAACCUGGGAACUGCAUCUGAUACUGUUAGGCUAGAAUAGGUGAGAGGAAGGUAGAAUUCCAGGUGUAGCGGUGAAAUGCGUAGAGAUCUGGAGGAAUACCGAUGGCGAAGGCAGCCUUCUGGCAUCAUAUUGACACUGAGGUUCGAAAGCGUGGGUAGCAAACAGGAUUAGAUACCCUGGUAGUCCACGCCGUAAACGAUGUCUACUAGUCGUUGGGUCCCUUGAGGACUUAGUGACGCAGCUAACGCAAUAAGUAGACCGCCUGGGGAGUACGGCCGCAAGGUUAAAACUCAAAUGAAUUGACGGGGGCCCGCACAAGCGGUGGAGCAUGUGGUUUAAUUCGAUGCAACGCGAAGAACCUUACCUGGUCUUGACAUAUCUAGAAUCCUGCAGAGAUGCGGGAGUGCCUUCGGGAAUUAGAAUACAGGUGCUGCAUGGCUGUCGUCAGCUCGUGUCGUGAGAUGUUGGGUUAAGUCCCGCAACGAGCGCAACCCUUGUCCUUAGUUACCAGCGGGUUAAGCCGGGAACUCUAAGGAUACUGCCAGUGACAAACUGGAGGAAGGCGGGGACGACGUCAAGUCAUCAUGGCCCUUACGACCAGGGCUACACACGUGCUACAAUGGUAGGUA